GACGAACGCUGGCGGCGUGCUUAACACAUGCAAGUCGAACGGAAAGGCCCCUUUGGGGGUACUCGAGUGGCGAACGGGUGAGUAACACGUGAGUAACCUGCCCUUGACUUCGGGAUAACUUCAGGAAACUGGGGCUAAUACCGGAUAGGAAUCCUUGCUGCAUGGUGGGGGUUGGAAAGCUUCGGCGGUUUUGGAUGGACUCGCGGCUUAUCAGCUUGUUGGUGGGGUAGUGGCUUACCAAGGCUUUGACGGGUAGCCGGCCUGAGAGGGCGACCGGCCACAUUGGGACUGGGAUACGGCCCAGACUCCUACGGGAGGCAGAAGUGGGGAAUAUUGCACAAUGGGCGGAAGCCUGAUGCAGCAACGCCGCGUGCGGGAUGACGGCCUUCGGGUUGUAAACCGCUUUCAGCAGGGGCGAAGCUUGUGGUGACGGUACCUGCAGAAGAAGCACCGGCUAACUACGUG
This 465-nucleotide ribosomal RNA is filed under the name uncultured bacterium. RNAcentral's name for it is "partial 16S ribosomal RNA". It matches the Rfam family "Bacterial small subunit ribosomal RNA", at positions 28 to 507 of the family's 1533-position model. The record is from RNAcentral.